AUCCUUAGUAAGUUUGAUCCUGCCGGACCUGACUGCUAUCGGAUUGAUACUAAGCCAUGCGAGUCUUUGCAGUAAUGCAAGGCAUACGGCUCAGUAACACGUAGUCAACUUACCCUAUGGACGAGGAUAAUCUCGGGAAACUGAGCAUAAUACUCGAUAGAUCAUAAUGCCUGGAAUGGUUUAUGGUUGAAAUGAUUCGUCGCCAUAGGAUGGGACUGCGGCCUAUCAGCUUGUUGGUGAGGUAAUGGCCCACCAAGGCGAUUACAGGUACGGGCUCUGAGAGGAGAAGCCCGGAGAUGGGUACUGAGACAAGGACCCAGGCCCUAUGGGGCGCAGCAGGCGAGAAAACUUUGCAAUGUGCGAAAGCACGACAAGGUUAAUCCGAGUGAUUUCUGCUAAAGAAAUCUUUUGCAAGUCAUAAAACCACUAGUGAAUAAGGGGUGGGCAAGUUCUGGUGUCAGCCGCCGCGGUAAAACCAGCACCUCAAGUGGUCAGGAGGAUUAUUGGGCCUAAAGCAUCCGUAGCCGGGUCUGUAAGUUUUCGGUUAAAUCCAUGUGCUCAACGCAUGGGCUGCCGAAAAUACUGCAUAGCUAGGGAGUGGGAGAGGUAGACGGUACUCGGUAGGAAGGGGUAAAAUCCUUUGAUCUAUCGAUGACCACCUGUGGCGAAGGCGGUCUACCAGAACACGUUCGACGGUGAGGGAUGAAAGCUGGGGGAGCAAACCGGAUUAGAUACCCGGGUAGUCCCAGCUGUAAACGAUGCAGACUCGAUGAUGCAUUGGCAUAUAGCCAGUGCAGUGUCGCAGGGAAGCCGUUAAGUCUGCCGCCUGGGAAGUACGUACGCAAGUAUGAAACUCAA
This 858-nucleotide ribosomal RNA is filed under the name uncultured archaeon. Its description in RNAcentral is "bacterial SSU rRNA". It matches the Rfam family "Archaeal small subunit ribosomal RNA", at positions 1 to 859 of the family's 1478-position model. RNAcentral also lists the same sequence under 1 other name. The record is from RNAcentral.